RNAcentral lists this ribosomal RNA (600 nucleotides) under Candida tropicalis. RNAcentral's name for it is "eukaryotic LSU rRNA". It matches the Rfam family "Eukaryotic large subunit ribosomal RNA", at positions 51 to 667 of the family's 3401-position model. The record is from RNAcentral. Lineage: Eukaryota; Fungi; Ascomycota; Pichiomycetes; Serinales; Debaryomycetaceae.
CGGAGGAAAAGAAACCAACAGGGAUUGCCUUAGUAGCGGCGAGUGAAGCGGCAAAAGCUCAAAUUUGAAAUCUGGCUCUUUCAGAGUCCGAGUUGUAAUUUGAAGAAGGUAUCUUUGGGUCUGGCUCUUGUCUAUGUUUCUUGGAACAGAACGUCACAGAGGGUGAGAAUCCCGUGCGAUGAGAUGAUCCAGGCCUAUGUAAAGUUCCUUCGAAGAGUCGAGUUGUUUGGGAAUGCAGCUCUAAGUGGGUGGUAAAUUCCAUCUAAAGCUAAAUAUUGGCGAGAGACCGAUAGCGAACAAGUACAGUGAUGGAAAGAUGAAAAGAACUUUGAAAAGAGAGUGAAAAAGUACGUGAAAUUGUUGAAAGGGAAGGGCUUGAGAUCAGACUUGGUAUUUUGUAUGUUACUUCUUCGGGGGUGGCCUCUACAGUUUAUCGGGCCAGCAUCAGUUUGGGCGGUAGGAGAAUUGCGUUGGAAUGUGGCACGGCUUUGGUUGUGUGUUAUAGCCUUCGUCGAUACUGCCAGCCUAGACUGAGGACUGCGGUUUAUACCUAGGAUGUUGGCAUAAUGAUCUUAAGUCGCCCGUCUUGAAACACGGACC